UAGAAUGAAGCUCGCUGGAUAGAGUGUUUAGCUGUUAACUAAAAUAUUACGGGAUCAAGGCCCGUCUUUCUAG
Molecule: transfer RNA, 73 nt
Filed under: Polypedates leucomystax (Java whipping frog)
Lineage: Eukaryota; Metazoa; Chordata; Amphibia; Anura; Rhacophoridae
Also listed under: 3 other names
Description: tRNA-Asn
Rfam family: tRNA
About the family: Transfer RNA (tRNA) molecules are approximately 80 nucleotides in length. Their secondary structure includes four short double-helical elements and three loops (D, anti-codon, and T loops).
Source: RNAcentral